AGUGAACGCUGGCGGUAGGCCUAACACAUGCAAGUCGAACGGCAGCACAGUAAGAGCUUGCUCUUACGGGUGGCGAGUGGCGGACGGGUGAGGAAUACAUCGGAAUCUACUUUUUCGUGGGGGAUAACGUAGGGAAACUUACGCUAAUACCGCAUACGACCUACGGGUGAAAGCAGGGGAUCUUCGGACCUUGCGCGAUUGAAUGAGCCGGUGUCGGAUUAGCUAGUUGGCGGGGUAAAGGACCACCAAGGCGACGAUCCGUAGCUGGUCUGAGAGGAUGAUCAGCCACACUGGAACUGAGACACGGUCCAGACUCCUACGGGAGGCAGCAGUGGGGAAUAUUGGACAAUGGGCGCAAGCCUGAUCCAGCCAUACCGCGUGGGUGAAGAAGGCCUUCGGGUUGUAAAGCCCUUUUGUUGGGAAAGAAAAGCAGCAGGUUAAUACCCCGCUGUUCUGACGGUACCCAAAGAAUAAGCACCGGCUAACUUCGUG
Molecule: ribosomal RNA, 492 nt
Filed under: uncultured bacterium
Lineage: Bacteria
Description: partial 16S ribosomal RNA
Rfam family: Bacterial small subunit ribosomal RNA
Source: RNAcentral